AGGGUUUGAUUAUGGCUCAGGAUGAACGCUGACAGAAUGCUUAACACAUGCAAGUCUACUUGAUCCUUCGGGUGAAGGUGGCGGACGGGUGAGUAACGCGUAAAGAACUUGCCUUACAGACUGGGACAACAUUUGGAAACGAAUGCUAAUACCGGAUAUUAUGACUGAGUCGCAUGAUUUGGUUAUGAAAGCUAUAUGCGCUGUGAGAGAGCUUUGCGUCCCAUUAGUUAGUUGGUGAGGUAACGGCUCACCAAGACGAUGAUGGGUAGCCGGCCUGAGAGGGUGAACGGCCACAAGGGGACUGAGACACGGCCCUU
This 317-nucleotide ribosomal RNA is filed under the name uncultured bacterium. RNAcentral describes it as "bacterial SSU rRNA". It matches the Rfam family "Bacterial small subunit ribosomal RNA", at positions 8 to 334 of the family's 1533-position model. The record is from RNAcentral.